AUUAAACGCUGGCGGCAUGCCUUACACAUGCAAGUCGAACGGCAGCACGGGGGCAACCUUGGUGGCGAGUGGCGAACGGGUGAGUAAAGCAUCGGAACGUGCCCUGGAGUGGGGGAUAACGUAGCGAAAGUUACGCUAAUACCGCAUAUUCUGUGAGCAGGAAAGCAGGGGAUCGCAAGACCUUGCGCUCUGGGAGCGGCCGAUGUCGGAUUAGCUAGUUGGUGGGGUAAAGGCCUACCAAGGCGACGAUCCGUAGCGGGUCUGAGAGGAUGAUCCGCCACACUGGGACUGAGACACGGCCCAGACUCCUACGGGAGGCAGCAGUGGGGAAUAUUGGACAAUGGGCGCAAGCCUGAUCCAGCCAUGCCGCGUGGGUGAAGAAGGCCUUCGGGUUG
This 395-nucleotide ribosomal RNA is filed under the name uncultured bacterium. RNAcentral describes it as "bacterial SSU rRNA". It matches the Rfam family "Bacterial small subunit ribosomal RNA", at positions 29 to 425 of the family's 1533-position model. The record is from RNAcentral.